ACUCCUACGGGAGGCAGCAGUGGGGAAUAUUGCACAAUGGGGGAAACCCUGAUGCAGCAACGCCGCGUGGAGGAUGACGCAUUUCGGUGUGUAAACUCCUUUUAUGUGGGAAGAUAAUGACGGUACCAUAUGAAUAAGCACCGGCUAACUCCGUGCCAGCAGCCGCGGUAAUACGGAGGGUGCAAGCGUUACUCGGAAUCACUGGGCGUAAAGCGCGCGCAGGCGGGCUAAUAAGUUGGAUGUGAAAGCCUACGGCUCAACCGUAGAACUGCAUCCAAAACUGUUAGUCUAGAGUCUGGGAGGGGAAGAUGGAAUUAGUUGUGUAGGGGUAAAAUCCGUAGAGAUAACUAGGAAUACCAAAAGCGAAGGCGAUCUUCUGGAACAGUACUGACGCUGAGGCGCGAAAGCGUGGGGAGCAAACAGGAUUAGAUACCCUGGUAGUCCACGCCCCAAACGAUGAAUGUUAGUCGUUGGAGUCCUAGUGACUUCAGUGAUGCAGCUAACGCAUUAAACAUUCCGCCUGGGGAGUACGGUCGCAAGAUUAAAACUCAAAGGAAUAGACGGGGACCCGCACAAGUGGUGGAGCAUGUGGUUUAAUUCGAAGAUACGCGAAGAACCUUACCUGGCCUUGACAUUGAUGAAACCCGGUAGAGAUACUGGGGUGCCCUUUUAGGGAGCCUGAAAACAGGUGCUGCACGGCUGUCGUCAGCUCGUGUCGUGAGAUGUUGGGUUAAGUCCCGCAACGAGCGCAACCCUCGUCACUAGUUACUAACGGUUCGGCCGAGGACUCUAGUGAGACUGCCUUCGCAAGGAGGAGGAAGGUGAGGACGACGUCAAGUCAUCAUGGGCCCUUAUGGCCAGGGCAACACACGUGCUACAAUGGGGGUGUACAAUGAGACGCGAUACCGCGAGGGUGGA
Molecule: ribosomal RNA, 918 nt
Filed under: uncultured Campylobacterota bacterium
Lineage: Bacteria; Pseudomonadati; Campylobacterota
Description: bacterial SSU rRNA
Rfam family: Bacterial small subunit ribosomal RNA
Source: RNAcentral